AGAAAACGCUAGUCAAUCGAGCCUUUAGCCAUUUGUCAGCAUCCUGAUUUCAUUCAGCACAAUGGAGACUUUAGUGGGAUUGUUGCUUUUGCUUCUCACUUAUUCAGCCUCAGCAGCUCCAUCUGUCAGUGCUACAGCCGUCAGUGCUUCUGCUGUCAGUGCUUCUGGUGUCAGUUCUUCAGCUGUCAGUUCUUCAGCUGUCAAGGCUCCAGCUGUCAGGGCUCUAACCGUCAAUACUUCAGUGGUGGAUGGAAAUACCAGUUCUAAAGCUAACACACGCCUUAACCUUGCCAUCAUCGCUGGCACUGCCAUUGCUGCCGUUGUGCUCGUGAUAAUCUUCUAUGUAAUUGCCCGGAGAUGUGGUGCAACGAACGAGCAAAUCUUAGACUCUUGCGGCAAACCCUUUUUUAAGCUCACUAUGGCAUGCUGUGAGCUGCUUCAAAAAACUGAAUAAAAGGGUUUGAUCUUUUCUCUUUUGGAUACUACAGAUUUUUCAUUCAUACUGUUUUUAAUAUCUUUUAG
This 522-nucleotide long non-coding RNA is filed under the name Oreochromis niloticus (Nile tilapia). RNAcentral describes it as "lncRNA (ENSONIG00000038156.1)". Lineage: Eukaryota; Metazoa; Chordata; Actinopteri; Cichliformes; Cichlidae. The record is from RNAcentral.